This 422-nucleotide ribosomal RNA is filed under the name uncultured prokaryote. Its description in RNAcentral is "bacterial SSU rRNA". It matches the Rfam family "Bacterial small subunit ribosomal RNA", at positions 355 to 774 of the family's 1533-position model. The record is from RNAcentral.
UAAGGAAUAUUGGUCAAUGGGCGAGAGCCUGAACCAGCCAUGCCGCGUGAAGGAAGACGGCCUUAUGGGUUGUAAACUUCUUUUAAGAGGGAAAAAACUGAGCUACGUGUAGCUCAUUGCUUGUACCUUUUGAAUAAGCAUCGGCUAACUCCGUGCCAGCAGCCGCGGUAAUACGGAAGAUGCGAGCGUUAUCCGGAUUCAUUGGGUUUAAAGGGUGCGCAGGCGGACUAAUAAGUCAGUGGUGAAAUCCCAUAGCUUAACUAUGGAACUGCCAUUGAUACGGUUGGACUAGAGUAUGGAUGACGUAGGCGGAAGGCGACAUGUAGCGGUGAAAGGCUUAGAUAUGUCGCAGAACACCGAUUGCGAAGGCAGCUUACGAAGCCAUAACUGACGCUCAUGCACGAAAGCGUGGGGAUCAAACA